AACAACUAAACCAGCAAUUCGUUCACAAGAAAACUACUUGGCGCUGAGCUGGCGUUGAAUUCCUUGGGUUACCCUGCCACUUUACUCACUUUUUUUGAUAUGAUUAAAUCUUAUACCCGUUGGAAGGCUCUCCGAUUGCAUUUGAUAGCUGAUUUGAUUUUCUUAAACUGGAAUUUCCUACAGCGAAGUCAUUCGAGAUCUUCAUCAGGUCACAUGGCAGAUACAAGCAGCAAUGAUAACACUGUGCCCAUGCUAGAAUCACCAGGCAAAGGAAAUUCUGCAAUAACUGUUCAGAAAAAAGGUCCACAUAGAAAUGUGGCUUCUGGUUUUGUUGUUGUCCUCCUUCCUGUUAUUCUUUCCCUGGUCCUUAUGAACAGAAAAAGAGAUAAGGUACGUGGAGUGCAUGUGGAAGUUGGAGGGGAUCCUGGUUUCACAGUUCAGAAUCACAAAUUUCCAGUACUAGUAAAUUCACCUUGGGAAGGAGCUACAACUCUUGCAGUCCUUUUUGAGCAGGCAUGCAAAAAACACAGUCAAAUGCGAUUGCUUGGGUCACGAAAACUUAUUAGCAGAGAAACACAAGUCAGUGAAAAUGGAAGAACCCUAGAGAAAUUACAUCUGGGUAGCUAUGAAUGGUUAAGUUAUGCAGAAACAUUUGAGCGGGCUUGCAACUUUGCAUCGGGAUUAGUAAAUCUAGGACAUCAAAGAGGUGAACGAGCUGCAAUUUUUGCUGAAACUCAAGGAGAGUGGUUUAUUGCAUUGCAGGGAUGCUUUCGGUACAACAUCACGGUGGUCACCAUUUAUGCAUCUUUGGGAGAGGAGGCACUUAUUCAUUCAUUGAAUGAGACAGAAGUAUCAACAGUAAUUUGUGAUUCCAAGCAGCUGAAAAUGCUCAUUGACGUAAGUGUGCAUGUGGCUUCUGUAAGGCGUAUUGUUUACAUGGAAGAGAAGGCCAUUACAUCUAAGACUUCUUUUCCUGAAAAUAGCUCCAGGUGGACAGUGGUAUCAUUUUCAGAAGUUGAAAGACUAAGUUUGCAGAAUCAUGUGGAUCCAAAUUUGCCUGUAGCUUCAGAUGUUGCAGUUAUAAUGUAUACAAGUGGUAGUACAGGGUUGCCCAAGGGAGUAAUGAUGACUCAUGGGAAUAUUGUAGCAACAGUGGCAGCAGUCAUGACACUUGUUCCAGGACUUGGUAAUAAGGACAUCUAUUUGGCAUACUUGCCAUUAGCACAUAUUCUUGAACUAGUAGCAGAGUUGUCUGUUGCAUUACAGGUAACAAUGGUUUCUGCAGGGUGUGCAAUAGGUUAUGGUUCCCCUUUGACUCUAACUGACACAUCAAACAAGAUCAAGAAGGGAACAAAAGGGGAUGCUCCAAUGUUGGGCCCUACAUUGAUGACAGCUGUACCUGCUAUUUUAGAUCGUAUCCGAGAUGGUGUACAGAAACAGGUUGAUGCAAAGGGUGGAAUAUCAAAUACACUAUUUAAUACUGCAUAUGCCCGAAGGUUAGCAGCUAUUGAAGGAAGUUGGUAUGGAGCAUGGGGUCCAGAAAAAUCUUUUUGGGAUGUUGUAGUAUUUAACAAGAUACGUUCACUUCUUGGAGGUCAGGUUCGGUUUUUUCUUAGUGGUGGAGCUCCUCUUUCUAGAGAGACACAGAGAUUCAUCAAUAUUUGCUUUGGGGCACCAAUUGGGCAAGGAUAUGGUCUCACAGAAACGUGUGCAGGAGCAACAUUUUCAGAAUGGGAUGAUACAACUGUUGGACGUGUUGGUCCACCUCUUCCUUGUUGCUAUGUUAAGCUGGUGAAUUGGGGAGAAGGUGGAUAUUUGACAACUGAUUCUCCAAUGCCUCGGGGAGAGAUUGUUGUUGGUGGACCGAGUAUAACUUUAGGAUAUUUUAAAAAUGUUGCCAAAACUGCUGAAGUGUACAAGUUGGACGAGAAUGGGACACGAUGGUUCUAUACAGGUGACAUAGGGAAAUUUCAUCCUGAUGGUUGUCUUGAGAUCAUCGAUCGUAAGAAAGACAUAGUAAAGCUGCAACAUGGAGAGUAUGUUUCCUUGGGAAAGGUUGAAGCAGCUUUAGGUGCAAGCAAUUAUGUAGAAAAUAUCAUGCUGCAUGCAGACCCAUUCCACAGCUAUACUGUAGCUCUUGUAGUUCCAGGACGGCAAGCUCUUGAGAAUUGGGCACAGAAUGUGCAUUUAGAAUACACAGAUUUUAGAGACUUGUGUCUAAACAAAGAUUCAAAUAAAGAGGUCUAUGGGUCACUUUUGAAGGCUGCCAAAAACUCAAAGCUUGAGAAAUUUGAAAUUCCAGCAAAGAUCAAGCUACUUCCUGAUGCAUGGACUCCUGAGACUGGUCUUGUCACAGCAGCUCUCAAGUUAAAACGAGAAGCUUUAAAGAAGACCUUUUCAGAGAAAUUAUCUAAACUGUAUGAGUAGAUGGAGUUCUUUUCUAGCUUUGUAACCGCUGAUGGUGUCUUAUUCAUGUUUUACUGUAUAAACUCAAACUAUGUGUUUGAGGUUUUAUCAUAUCUUAGUAUUAGUCUGUUGGCCUCAUAUUUCCCAGAGAAAUUUUAUAGUGGACAACUGAUUAUAAAAUAAACUUUAAAUUCCCAACUAAGUUUUGCCAUAUUGAUUUAUGGGAGCAUUCUGAGGGUUGCUUGCUACAGCGGUGUGGAGAAAUUGCAUCGCGUCAGCAGUACAGAGUUGCUUCAAAACUGUAGAAAUGGAUGAGCCUCUCUAAUUACUGAAUAAUAACCAUGUAGAAUGUUUCUACUUCAGCUUGUUGAGGUAUUUGUAUUCUGAGGGUUGCUUGCACAGUGGUGAGUAUUUUAUAUUAAUGUCACAUGGAUUUAAUUGUUACUCUUUUGGCAUGAAUUGUAUGGGUACAUGAUGUUACCAAAGUCUGUACUCAUAGAAAACUACAUAUACAGCUGUAGGCACUUUUAAAAU
Molecule: RNA transcript, 2940 nt
Organism: Cryptomeria japonica (Japanese cedar)
Lineage: Eukaryota; Viridiplantae; Streptophyta; Pinopsida; Cupressales; Cupressaceae
Gene name: long chain acyl-CoA synthetase 9, chloroplastic
Exons: 13
Source: RefSeq, a predicted model, not a curated record